UACGGGGGGGGCAAGCGUUGUUCGGAAUUACUGGGCGUAAAGGGCUCGUAGGCGGCCAGCUAAGUCAGACGUGAAAUCCCUCGGCUUAACCGGGGAACUGCAUCUGAUACUGGAUGGCUUGAGUUCGGGAGAGGGAUGCGGAAUUCCAGGUGUAGCGGUGAAAUGCGUAGAUAUCUGGAGGAACACCGGUGGCGAAGGCGGCAUCCUGGACCGACACUGACGCUGAGGAGCGAAAGCCAGGGGAGCAAACGGG
RNAcentral lists this ribosomal RNA (253 nucleotides) under uncultured bacterium. RNAcentral describes it as "partial 16S ribosomal RNA". It matches the Rfam family "Bacterial small subunit ribosomal RNA", at positions 524 to 776 of the family's 1533-position model. The record is from RNAcentral.